This is a long non-coding RNA of Cuculus canorus (common cuckoo), 1399 nucleotides long. RefSeq lists it as uncharacterized. Lineage: Eukaryota; Metazoa; Chordata; Aves; Cuculiformes; Cuculidae. The record is from RefSeq and is a predicted model, not a curated record. The transcript has 3 exons.
ACCACACAAUAAUCAAUUAUUUCCUUGGAAACUGAGAUUACUAUAGAUUAUCCAUCUAACUAUCAAAAAGUCUAUCGUAUCCAGCUUUUUCUGAACGCUAUUCUUCUAAUUUCCAGGGAAAGGAAGGCGAGUCAGAAUAUUAUGUACUUCCAUAUUUUACAAGAGACAGGGGAGAAAAGCUAUAUAAUCAGAUUCUAUUUGAGAUUUUAGAGGGUCUUUAGAGACGAGUACCUAACGAUAAGGAGAUGUUGAUGGAGAAAAUUACUGUAUGCAUUACAAGCACUAUUUGUAGCUUGACUGAAUCCAAGUUUGCAAAAUGAGUGUCAGCUACAUAAAUUUAACAGGUCAAGACACUGAGGGGUUAGAAUUAUUAUUGAAGGAGAUGCAAGAGAGCUGCUAACCAUAAAUAAAGGGAUUAAAUUAAAAGGGAACAUACACAAUUUUUCUUUUGAUAUUUAUUCCAGUAGUGACCUUUAUCAGAGUAGCUCAGUAAAUUUAAGACUCAGAAAGUAUAGUUUGGAGGUAAUAUUACUUACAUUACAUUGUGAUUUCUCUCUUUGAGAACUUCGCUGGCCUAGCAUUGUGUGACUGAUACCAAAUAGGAGGAACAAUGGAGCACAGUGUGAAAGGGAACAUGACCAUAGGAGGCAAAAAAUUUUUAAGUAGAGGAAGCACAAAUGGCAGCAUUUUUUCUCUUGCUGAAAAGUCUUUUAUUCUGGCGUUGACAGUAGCAGAAGGGAAAAGCCCAUUGGAUGCCUGGGAAAGACAGUCUAAAAAUUGCAUGGACGUUUUUUUAAUAAAGAGCCUAUGAGGUCUGCAUUGAAAUGUGGUAUUUUAGCAGUGCUGGAAAAACAGGGAAGGGUGUGGGAUGAGAGAAGUGUUGUGGGCUUGAAUGUUAGUAUCUGUUUUUUCUUAGGUGUGGAAGAUUAAGUUUUUCAAAAGCAAAAGAAAGCAUUCCUGCCUUUCCACAUCAGUACCCAGGAGAAGCAAGGCAGAACUAUCCAAAGGACUGCCUUAUGAUUUGAGCCACAGGAAAGAACAAGGGGAAAUGGAAAGUCCCUCCCUUCAAGGAAAAAAAAAUUGAAUUAAAGAUAUAAAAGGAUCUGGGAGCAGGCUGAAAACUAGAGGGAGAACAUGAUAAACCAGUGAAGGAGUUCGGAGGCGUUCUAUGUGGCCACAUAUCACAUCCCUCAUGACACAUCAUUACUGCUAUUUCAGUCUCUGCAGAAGAACCAUUAUCUGUGAACUGGAGCAUGCUCAUCAAAGACUGCAUCCUGCAUGACGACAAGAGCUUAACACCAGCAAAUUAAUGAAGUGCGUGCUCAGUGCUAAGCACCCAAAGUCUCACUGACUUCAAGGGGACUAAACUUAAUUGCUCUGCUGGAUUAUGAUAGUGUUG